CUUAGAGUUUGAUCCUGGCUCAGGACGAACGCUGGCGGCGUGCCUAAUACAUGCAAGUCGAACGAAGCUUUCUUUCACCGAAUGCUUGCAUUCGCCGAAAGAAGCUUAGUGGCGAACGGGUGAGUAACACGUAGGCAACCUGCCCAAAAGAGGGGGAUAACACUUGGAAACAGGUGCUAAUACCGCAUAACCAUGAACACCGCAUGAUGUUCAUGUAAAAGACGGCUUUUGCUGUCACUUUUGGAUGGGCCUGCGGCGUAUUAACUUGUUGGUGGGGUAACGGCCUACCAAGGUGAUGAUACGUAGCCGAACUGAGAGGUUGAUCGGCCACAUUGGGACUGAGACACGGCCCAAACUCCUACGGGAGGCAGCAGUAGGGAAUCUUCCACAAUGGACGAAAGUCUGAUGGAGCAACGCCGCGUGAAUGAAGAAGGCCUUCGGGUCGUAAAAUUCUGUUGUCAGAGAAGAACGUGCGUGAGAGUAACUGUUCACGUAUUGACGGUAUCUGACCAGAAAGCCACGGCUAACUACGUGCCAGCAGCCGCGGUAAUACGUAGGUGGCGAGCGUUGUCCGGAUUUAUUGGGCGUAAAGGGAACGCAGGCGGUCUUUUAAGUCUGAUGUGAAAGCCUUCGGCUUAACCGAAGUAGUGCAUUGGAAACUGGAAGACUUGAGUGCAGAAGAGGAGAGUGGAACUCCAUGUGUAGCGGUGAAAUGCGUAGAUAUAUGGAAGAACACCAGUGGCGAAAGCGGCUCUCUGGUCUGUAACUGACGCUGAGGUUCGAAAGCGUGGGUAGCAAACAGGAUUAGAUACCCUGGUAGUCCACGCCGUAAACGAUGAGUGCUAAGUGUUGGAGGGUUUCCGCCCUUCAGUGCUGCAGCUAACGCAUUAAGCACUCCGCCUGGGGAGUAUGGUCGCAAGACUGAAACUCAAAUGAAUUGAC
Molecule: ribosomal RNA, 942 nt
Filed under: uncultured bacterium
Lineage: Bacteria
Description: bacterial SSU rRNA
Rfam family: Bacterial small subunit ribosomal RNA
Source: RNAcentral